This 301-nucleotide ribosomal RNA is filed under the name uncultured bacterium. RNAcentral describes it as "partial 16S ribosomal RNA". It matches the Rfam family "Bacterial small subunit ribosomal RNA", at positions 509 to 807 of the family's 1533-position model. The record is from RNAcentral.
CAGCCGCCACGGUAAUACAGAGGGUGCGAGCGUUAAUCGGAUUUACUGGGCGUAAAGCGUGCGUAGGCGGCUUCUUAAGUCGGAUGUGAAAUCCCUGAGCUUAACUUAGGAAUUGCAUUCGAUACUGGGAAGCUAGAGUAUGGGAGAGGAUGGUAGAAUUCCAGGUGUAGCGGUGAAAUGCGUAGAGAUCUGGAGGAAUACCGAUGGCGAAGGCAGCCAUCUGGCCUAAUACUGACGCUGAGGUACGAAAGCAUGGGGAGCAAACAGGAUUAGAUACCCGGGUAGUCCCUGUCUCUUAUAC